Oxyura jamaicensis (ruddy duck) is the source of this 2998-nucleotide long non-coding RNA. RefSeq lists it as uncharacterized. NCBI's taxonomy places the organism in Eukaryota, Metazoa, Chordata, Aves, Anseriformes, Anatidae. The transcript is spliced from 3 exons. The record is from RefSeq and is a predicted model, not a curated record.
AUGGUUAGGUAUGGUGUGGGAUCAGACGCUACCCCCAAAAUAGGAUAAACUAAAAGGCUGCAGUCGUGAAGAGGAGUUUAUUGACAUAACCAUAAUUCCCUUACAAAAAAAUAGGACGGUAACACCAAGAUCAGUGCUUUCUUCGCCGUAGGCCUUGAAGAUUUUGGUGAUUUGAUCCAGAACUGGAUCCUGGAGAUUCCACCUCUCCCCUGUAAACUCCUUUUAGCAUAAACAGAUAUUAUCUGCGCACGAGAAGGAGGAGAACAGAGUCCCAAUAAAAAUACCUCGCAGCUUAACUGCCUAGCUGGUAGCUUCCCGCACACAGUAAAACAGCCAACGCGCAGACUGACGCAAAGUUGAAAGGAGAGCUGUUUCCCCGUGGGACUAUCAAACACGAACCUCUUUUAGUUCAGUAAGGAGACAAGCUUUCACCCACAUUGGCUGGGUAAUCUCCUUUGGAGGGAGGGCUGCUCAUCUCGCACAGGGUCCAAAGCUCCUGAGGGAAAAGCAAAAAAACCAACGCCGGCCACAGCCGUAAGAAAAACAUCCACGGGUACCCUAGGAGCGACACCCAACCCCGACGGCUCGCCCCACGAAGGCGAGGGGUGCCACCGGCCCCAUCCCACGGGGAUCUGCUGCCUUCGGGGAGCCGGGGGUGCCGGCCGGAGCGGCGAUAGCUGGCGCUGCCUUGCCACCUAGUGUCGCCGGCACGGACUGCAGGUCCCCGCCCGCGCCCACCCCCCGCCGCAGCGCUGCGUCCUAAUGGCCGGGCUUGGGAAGAAAUCCGGGCUCCUUAUCUAGCUGGAAUUACAGGAACUUCAGCUUUUUUACAUUCAUUUGCAUCAAUAUUUUAUGCGCCGUAAUGGCCGGAUAACCCCCGCGCUAAGAGACUCUAUUUCAUAUUGUCAAUAGCGAUGGGAAGGGGAUAAAUUACCAGUGGCCACACGCGCUAUCUGUGGCUCAUUUAGAAACGGUUCUUUAGCUGAUUAGAUAUCGCCUAAAAGUAGAUAUUUAGUGUCACUCAGCCCCGCUGCAUCUCCUGAUUUAGUGCUGAAGCCGUGGCGGGACCAAAGCCAUUAGCCGAGCGCCGCCGCCACCGCUCAACUUGUUUGGCAAACGCGGCCCCUCCGCUUGCGACUGCCGUGAUUUACAUAUGGAGCCUUGGGAGCAGAGCCAGAUUCUGAAAUUGUUGGAGGAAAUAUAUUGAGAGGAGGCUGCGCUCUCAUUGCUCACCUGCCAUCAGCACACAGUUCAGCUUUCCGAAAGCAGAGACACUUGAUCAUCGUCUCAGCUUCACCGAGCAUGUUAAAUCUGUGCUGCACAUCAACAAAUGUCACGCUCUUUGAUGGAGUACAGUUUAAGAAUAAAAAAUACGGUCAUCCUAGCGAAAGAGACACUUGUGACGGUGGGAGCCAGAGACCAUGGAACAUUUUACAGUCAUUGCCAUAGCCUGGCAAAGUCCUGUUAUUUAUUUACAGCCACAUUUUGGCCUGCAGCAUAAGCCUGAUGGUGGUGGUGGAAGGGGAAGGAGGAGGAGGUGCUGAGUGGUGAUGCUGGUAGGUGCUUCAAACCUUUGCUCUCGCCUUUUCUCUCUGUCCAUUGCUCUUGCUGCCAUAUUUAUUCCAUAUCUGAGCAAAGCAGUUUCUUUAGUAAGUGUCUGAGCUGCACUGCUGGGUGUGAACACAUCAACCUGUUUUAACCUCCUUUGCAGUUUCUAAAUUUCCUUGUUUACCUCUUUCAUUCUCAGUUUGUUCACUGUUGCUAAUAAUCAGCAGGGUCUACUCCCUUUGUGGCUGUUUUCUCCAGACGUAAUUAAAUUGUCUGGGAUUGACAUUUGGCUCCGCUGAGGUUUGGGUUGUAUCUUCUUGGCUGCCUCAGUGUCCUCCUUCAUUUGGGAUUCUGAUCACUGCCUGCCCCCGCAUGGCACAUGAUCAAUGGAUGCUUUCACUCCUGCCAGACUCCCUUGUGCUUGGAAUAAGGCUGGUAAGUAUUUCUGGCACUCGGAGCACUCCGGAAGGGUAUUUCAAGUCUCAGCCUCAGCUGCAGUGCCUACUGUGCAUGCUGGAGCCUGCAGCACGCCACAGCAAUGUACGGGGGGCCCUGUCCCUUCCCAACGAGGCCGUGAGCAAUCCAGGGCUGCCAUCUCCCUUCACACUCAGCUGCAGCUCUGCUUUGGAGCUUUCUGUCAUUCUUUGGUGAGUGAUAAAGCCCUGCCAAAGCAGAUGAUUAACCAGAGUCCGGUCUCCUGAUGCUGUCAGUGCCCUUGCUAAAGGGUGUCAGGAUGACCUUGUGCCUCUCCUGCCCCUCUUCUUCUCUGCCACUGGUACGAAGCUUUCUUUUGCAAGUUCCACAUGCUACAAGCUAUGCUAUAUGCUCUGCUGUUUUGCAAUGGUGCUUUUAAUCCCUUAAUUUCAGGUUUGGGAAACAGUGUGGAUAGUAACGAUAACAGGCCUCAUCUUUUCCAUGACAUGUCGUCGUGUCCCUGGGUGACUGCCGGUGUCUUUCACAAGGCUACAGUUAGUCCCCUUGCACCUGGGAAGGAUUUCUGUUAGUUUCUGUUUUCACUCUUGGUGACAUACACCCUCUUGUUCAGGCCCAAAGGUAUGUGUCUCAUGACCUACUACUUACUACUUUCCACUGUCAAAUCCACUGACUUUAGUUGGUGCAGCAGCAGGUAGACAUUCUAGAGAUGUCCUUGUCGGAUAGUUUGACAUUGCAAGUUUUAGUCACCAUAUUAAGUUUCCCGAGUUUUCCGCGCCUUUUCUUGCCCAUCUGCCCGUGGUUAGCUUUGCAGUGACCAUCACUGUAUGUUUUCAUGGUCAGGUCCUUGAACAUUGGCAUGUCUUCUCACUGCAACUUGCUCAUAUCUUUCCCAUAAAUAUCCUUCACUUUCUACCUUCAUCUCCCAUCUGUUCCUACUCUGAAGUCUCCGUGAUUGCUUCUAGCUGGGAGCACUUCUAUGUGUACAUCAAAUCUGUCUUUUUAUCAUCCCUAAUAG